AAACACCUCCGCAGAUGCUCUGGAGGAUGGUAGAGACUGGAGAGGGGCUCCACAAACGCGAAUUGAAGACAGAGAAAAGUGUCAGCUUUGCUGUCCUUCUGCUUAUCUGGUUGUGAAUGAAAAUCCAGAGGAAGAUAGAUGCCAGCUAAGGUUUUGGCAAUGCAGUCCCAUGUGAGUAGGUAAUUCUUCUUUGCACCUCUGUUGCCAGCAGAUGGGAAGAUUUCUCCU
This 228-nucleotide long non-coding RNA is filed under the name Dasypus novemcinctus (nine-banded armadillo). RNAcentral describes it as "lncRNA (ENSDNOG00000051011.1)". Lineage: Eukaryota; Metazoa; Chordata; Mammalia; Cingulata; Dasypodidae. The record is from RNAcentral.